Mytilus trossulus (common blue mussel) is the source of this 706-nucleotide long non-coding RNA. RefSeq lists it as uncharacterized. The record is from RefSeq and is a predicted model, not a curated record. Lineage: Eukaryota; Metazoa; Mollusca; Bivalvia; Mytilida; Mytilidae. The transcript has 3 exons.
UUGGUACCUUUGGGGUAAUAAAUUCUUUGGGGUAAUUGAAAAAAAUUCGCCCAAAGGUUUGUACUAAUUUCAACCUGUUAUGUUAAUGUUAUCAUUUUGUGGUUUUAAUAUGAUAUACAGCUAGAUAAUAUCUCCCCAAAACGCUUCCAAACAUUUAAAUCGGACAACUAUUUGAACAAUUAUCGGUUUAUGAAAUAUGACCGUCUGUAAAGUGCAUAUCUAGCUGGAGUUAUAAACGGGCGUUUGGGCUAAUUCGCCUUUUUUGGUUUUCCACCAAAAAAACUGAUAUAUAUCACUUAUAUUAUUAUUUGAGUAAAGUGGUGGGAACUUUCUGCAGUUUUCGAUUAAUUUUCUCCAAGAAAUUGUAAGAAAUAGAAAAAAUAUUCGACAUAUAUAUGAGUAGCACGUCUGAAAUUUCACAUAUAUUCUUUCGAAGAUCUUAUUCGGAACACCUUUGGAUUCAUUCGCUUCGAUUAAAUAGGACAAAAUGGCAGCUUGCAGGGGCCAGCUGAAGGACACCUCUGGGUGCGGGAAUUUUUCGAUACAGUGAAGACCUGUUGGUGAGCUUCUGCUGUUGUUUUUAUCCAAGGGGUUUUUACUCAUCAGAUGCAUGAUUCAGAUCAAUACAGUGGUGUCUGCAUAAAAAAAGUUGAUGGGAGAAUGAUGUUUAUCAAAGGUAGGGUUUGAACUGGGUAAGAGAAUGACA